Molecule: long non-coding RNA, 338 nt
Organism: Oncorhynchus keta (chum salmon)
Lineage: Eukaryota; Metazoa; Chordata; Actinopteri; Salmoniformes; Salmonidae
Exons: 3
Source: RefSeq, a predicted model, not a curated record
ACAGAAUACCGGGAGAGGGGAAAGGUAAGAGGGGAGUACCAGGAGAGGGCCAGGAGAGGGGAAAGGUAAUAGGGGAGUACCAGGAGAGGGCCAGGAGAGGGGAAAGGUAAGAGGGGAGUACCAGGAGAGGGCCAGGAGAGGGGAAAGGAAAGAGGGGAGUACCAGGAGAGGAUCAGGAGAGGGGAAAGGUAAGAGCGGAGUACCAGGAGAGGACCAGGAGAGGGGAAAGGUAAGAGGGGAGUACCAGGAGAGGGCCAGGAGAGGGGAAAGGUAAGAGGGGAGUACCAGGAGAGGACCAGACAGGGGAAAGGUAAGAGAGGAGUACCAGGAGAGGACCA